This 1443-nucleotide ribosomal RNA is filed under the name uncultured organism. RNAcentral's name for it is "SSU rRNA". It matches the Rfam family "Bacterial small subunit ribosomal RNA". The record is from RNAcentral.
ACGCUAGCUACAGGCUUAACACAUGCAAGUCGAGGGGCAGCAUCAUCAAAGCUUGCUUUGAUGGAUGGCGACCGGCGCACGGGUGAGUAACACGUAUCCAACCUGCCGACAACACUGGGAUAGCCUUUCGAAAGAAAGAUUAAUACCGGAUGGCAAAAUUUUCCCGCAUGGGAUAAUUAUUAAAGAAUUUCGGUUGUCGAUGGGGAUGCGUUCCAUUAGGCAGUUGGCGGGGUAACGGCCCACCAAACCAACGAUGGAUAGGGGUUCUGAGAGGAAGGUCCCCCACAUUGGAACUGAGACACGGUCCAAACUCCUACGGGAGGCAGCAGUGAGGAAUAUUGGUCAAUGGACGAGAGUCUGAACCAGCCAAGUAGCGUGAAGGAUGACUGCCCUAUGGGUUGUAAACUUCUUUUAUACGGGAAUAAAGUUAGCCACGUGUGGCUUUUUGUAUGUACCGUAUGAAUAAGGAUCGGCUAACUCCGUGCCAGCAGCCGCGGUAAUACGGAGGAUCCGAGCGUUAUCCGGAUUUAUUGGGUUUAAAGGGAGCGUAGGCGGGUUGUUAAGUCAGUUGUGAAAGUUUGCGGCUCAACCGUAAAAUUGCAGUUGAUACUGGCGACCUUGAGUGCAACAGAGGUAGGCGGAAUUCGUGGUGUAGCGGUGAAAUGCUUAGAUAUCACGAAGAACUCCGAUUGCGAAGGCAGCUUACUGGAUUGUAACUGACGCUGAUGCUCGAAAGUGUGGGUAUCAAACAGGAUUAGAUACCCUGGUAGUCCACACAGUAAACGAUGAAUACUCGCUGUUGGCGAUAUGCGGUCAGCGGCCAAGCGAAAGCAUUAAGUAUUCCACCUGGGGAGUACGCCGGCAACGGUGAAACUCAAAGGAAUUGACGGGGGCCCGCACAAGCGGAGGAACAUGUGGUUUAAUUCGAUGAUACGCGAGGAACCUUACCCGGGCUUAAAUUGCAACUGACGGAACCGGAAACGGUCCUUUCUUCGGACAGUUGUGAAGGUGCUGCAUGGUUGUCGUCAGCUCGUGCCGUGAGGUGUCGGCUUAAGUGCCAUAACGAGCGCAACCCUUACGGGUAGUUACCAUCAGGUUAUGCUGGGGACUCUACCCGGACUGCCGUCGUAAGAUGUGAGGAAGGUGGGGAUGACGUCAAAUCAGCACGGCCCUUACGUCCGGGGCUACACACGUGUUACAAUGGGGGGUACAGAAGGUAGCUACACGGCGACGUGGUGCUAAUCCCAAAAGCCUCUCUCAGUUCGGAUUGGAGUCUGCAACCCGACUCCAUGAAGCUGGAUUCGCUAGUAAUCGCGCAUCAGCCACGGCGCGGUGAAUACGUUCCCGGGCCUUGUACACACCGCCCGUCAAGCCAUGAAAGCCGGGGGUACCUGAAGUACGUAACCGCGAGGAGCGUCCUAGGGUAAAACUGGUGAUUGGGGC